Molecule: ribosomal RNA, 460 nt
Filed under: uncultured bacterium
Lineage: Bacteria
Description: partial 16S ribosomal RNA
Rfam family: Bacterial small subunit ribosomal RNA
Source: RNAcentral
CCUACGGGAGGCAGCAGUGAGGAAUAUUGGUCAAUGGCCGAGAGGCUGAACCAGCCAAGUCGCGUGAGGGAAGAAUGUCCUAUGGAUUGUAAACCUCUUUUGUCAGGGAGCAAAGUCACCCACGUGUGGGUCUUUGAGAGUACCUGAAGAAAAAGCAUCGGCUAACUCCGUGCCAGCAGCCGCGGUAAUACGGAGGGAGCAAGCGUUGUCCGGAAUUACUGGGCGUAAAGGGCGCGUAGGUGGGCGCUGAAGUCAGGUGUGAAAACUCCGGGCUCAACCUGGAGACUGCACUUGAAACUGGGUGUCUUGAGGGCAGGAGAGGAAAGUGGAAUUCCUAGUGUAGCGGUGAAAUGCGUAGAUAUUAGGCGGAACACCAGUGGCGAAGGCGACUUUCUGGACUGUACCUGACGCUGAGGCGCGAAAGCGUGGGUAGCGAACGGGAUUAGAUACCCGUGUAGUC